This 26-nucleotide non-coding RNA is filed under the name Homo sapiens (human). Lineage: Eukaryota; Metazoa; Chordata; Mammalia; Primates; Hominidae. The record is from RNAcentral.
UCCUUGAACAGAGCAGGGAAGGAUGC